CGCAACUGGUCCACAUUCUCACCUGGGGCAAGUAGCCAUAACCUUAGUUGGAGAUCAGAAAGUGAGUCACAUCAUGUACAGUUGAACAUCUGUAUUUCCAAAGACCCAGUAACUGCAUUCCCGGGCAACAGCCACAAAAAUUGCACACAUACACCAAGAGACACGUGCAAGAAUGGCAGUAGAAACCUUAUUCACAGUAGCGCCAAAUUGAAAACAUCCAAAUGCCGCUGGCAAGAGCUGUAGAAAUGUGGAAUGAUGAUAUAGUGGUAGAAAAUGAAGGAAAAAUAGCAAUUCGGCUGGAUCACGGUGAUGUAAUACUGAGUGAAACAAAUGCAAGUCCCAGAAGAGUACAGGUGGAAUGGUAUCCUUUUUGUGAAGUUCAAAUACAACUAGAACUACUGUAUUUAGGCAUAAUAUUGGGUUGAAUCACACGGAAUUGCUGUUUUUUUUUUAACCUAUUUUGACCUAUAAAAGUGGCGAAUUCAUAAGGUUAAGCCUAUUUUAUGUGUGAAAAAAACUAUUUUAUAAAAAAAGCAGGAAGAGGAGUCCCCUUCGUGGCUCAGUGGUUAAAGAAACCAACUAGGAUCCAUGAGGAUGUAGGUUCAAUCCCUGGCCUCGCUCAGUGGGUUAAGGAUCCUGUGUUGCUGUGGCUGUGGUGUAGGCUGGCAGCUGCAGCUCCGAUUAGACCCCUAGCCUGGAAACUUCCAUAUGCUGCCACAGGUGCGGCUCUAAAAAAAAAAAAAGCAAGGUGAGUUCUCACUAUGGCACAGUGGGUUACAGAUUUGAGUUCAGUGGCUCAGGUCACUGCAGAGAGGUGGGUUGGAUCUCUGGUCCUAUGCAAUGGGUUAAAAGAUCAGGCAUUCCUACAGCCGUGGCUCAGAUUCAAUUCCUGGCCCAGGAAUGUCCAUAUACCUUGGGUGAAACCAUUAAAAAAAAAAAAAGCAAGCAAGACAAUGAGGAGCACAGAAUCCAGAAUAGUGAUUACCUGGCGUGGGGUAGUGGAGGGGUGAGGGAAGAUGGGGAACCCAUAAGUAGAUUUAAUUUUUAGUGAUGUUCUGGUUCUUUGGGUUGGAAGGUGGAUUGAGGGACUUUCAUUUUUUCAUUCAUGUAUGAAUGAAUGAAAAAAUAGAAAUUUAUUCUGUAACUAAUUAGGGGCACUGCCACUUGCAGAGUUUUCAAGGUAGUAAAAUGUAAGAGUCUAGAAUCUUAUUUAGUUUUUUUUUUUUUUUUUUUCUGGUCAUGCUCCCAGUAUGUGGAAGUUACUGGGCCAGGGACUGAACAUCAGCUAAAACAGUAACCCAACCCAUAGCAGUGACAACACCGAGUCCUUAACCUGCUGGGCCAUCAGGGAACUCCAGAAUCUUAUUUAGUUUUUUCUGCAUUCAUUUAUUCAUUCUUCUUUUUUUUUUUUUUUCUUUUUAGGGCCGCACCUACUGUAUGUGGAAGUGCCCAGGCUAGGGGUCCAGUCGGAGCUACAGCUGCCGGCCUAUGCCACAGCCACAGAAACAUCAGAUCCGAGCCACGUUUGUGACCUACACCACAGCUCACAGCAAUGCUGGAUCCUUAACCCACUGAGCAAGGCCAGGGAUCCAACCUGCAACCUCAUGGUUCCUAGUCAGAUUCGUUUCUGCUGCGCCAUGACAGGAACUCCCAUUUAUUCAUUCUUUAAAAAAAAAUAAGGGCAUAAUUUUUUUCUUUUUCAGGUGGCACGUGGAAGUUCCCAGGCCAGGGGUUGAAUCUGAGCCAGAGCUGCGACUUAUGCCACAGCUGCAGCCAUGCUGGAUCCUUAACCCAUGUGCUGAGCCUGGGAUUGAACCAGUACCUCCACAGAGACAAGCCAGAUCAUUAACCCUCUGCACCGCAAUAGGAACUCCCAAGGCAUAAUUUACAUACAGUAAAAUUCACCUUUUUAGUGUACGGUUCUGAGUUUUAAAAAUGCAUACACUUGCAUAACCAUCGCCACAAUCAAAAUAUAGAUCAAUUCCAUCGCCCCCUCGAUUCCCCCCAAACCCUCCUGCAGUCAGUCAGUCCUUCCUUUCAACCCCAGCCCUUGGCAACUACUGAUCUUUUUUUCUGUCUCUAUAGUUUUGCUUCUUCCAGAACAUGUUUAGUAAAAGUGCCCACAAAAUUCUAGUUCUGUGGUAUUUAAAAGGCUAGGGAUUCGUAAGUAGGAACAUGAUGACUAAAGCAGCUCAGAACUACUUUCUUUGCCUAGAAAGAGAGAAAAAAAAAAAAAAAAGAAAAAGAAAAGGAAAAGGGUAGGACAAUAUGAUCUCUGAACCUCACCCUCUGAUGUGCGAGGGGACCUUUCUCUGGAUCCCCAGCCCUGCCUGUCACCAGCUGUGUAGCUCUAGAGAAGCUACUUCCCUUCUCUUCAUCUGUAAAAUGGGAUGAUAAUAUUUCCCCCUCUGGAGUAUUUUGUGGAGUACAAGGUAGCUGUUAUUCUAAUCGGAGCCACACUGAAACCUUUCUCCUUCUUGGCCCUUCUCCCUCCCACAGGCAAACACACUGGCUCUGUUCCUAAGGGCCCAUCCCCCUGCCACAGUGCAUAUUGAAAAAACUUUGCCCAAAACUGAUAACACUGUAGGUAUAUUUUUGGGUUUUUCUCCGUUUUUUGGCCACAUCCACGGCAUAUGGAAGUUCCCAAGGAUUGAACCAGCAACACCACAGAGACAAGACAGAGCCUUAACCUGCUGCGCCACAGCAGGAACUCCCAACAUUGUAGAUAUAUUGAAGACUUGGAAACAGAGAUUCAAACAGGUACUUAAAUGCCAAGGUUUCAUUGCAGUACUAGUCACAGGAGCCAAAAGGUGGAGACAACUCAAGUGCCCAUCAACAGAUGAGCAGAUAAGCAAAAUAUGGUAUAUACACAAUGGAGUGUUUUUAGCCUUAAAAAGAAUGACGUUCUGAUACAUACUAAAACAUAGAUAAACCUUGAAGACAAUAUGCUAAGUAAAAUAAGCACACAGAAGCCACAGAAGAACAAAUACUGUGAUUCCAUAUAUAUUAAAUAUUCAGGACAAAUUCAUAAAGACAGAGACUGGAGGUAACCAGGGGCUGGAGGGAGGGAGGAAUGGGCAGUUAUUGCUUCAUGGGUACAGAGUUUCUAUUUGGGAUGAUGAAAAUUUUGGGGAAUAGAUAAUGGUAAUGGUUGCACAACAGUGUGAAGGUAAUUAAUGUCACUGAAUAGUACACUUAAAAAUGGGCAAAAUAGGAGUUCCCGUUGUGGUGCAGCAGGUAAAGAACUUGACUAGUAUCCAUAAGGAUUCAGGUUCAAUCCCUGGCCUUGCCCAGUGGGUUAAGGAUCUGGUAUUGCUGUGAGCUGUGGUGUAGGUGGCAGACUCAGCUCACCCCGGAUCUGGUGUUGCUGUAGCUGUGAUAUAGGCCAGGAGCUACAGCUCCAAUUUGACCUCUAGCCUGGGAAUUUCCAUAGCCUGCAGGUGUGGCCCUAAAAAGGCAAAAAAUAAAUCAAUAAAUAAAUAAAUAAAAAGAUUUUUUUGUCUUUUCAGGGCCACACCCAAGGCAUAUGGAGGUUCCCAGGCCAGGUGUUGAAUUGGAGCUGCAGCUACCAGCCUACACCACAGCUCAUGGCAACGCCAGAUCCUUAACCCAUUGAAUGAGGGCAGAGAUCGAACCUGCGUCCUCAUGGACACUAGUCGGAUUCAUUUCCACUGAGCCAUGAUGGGAACUCCACACAUUUUCUGUAUUUAUGUGUUUUACCACAAUUAAAAAGGCCUCCAGUGAUGACAUUCUUUGACAACAAAACAAGGCAACAAAGGAAAGAAAAGUUUUUUGGAGUGAAAUUUCCAGGUAAUCACCCACCUCUCCUGUGUACCUCUCUUGACAGUUUACAAAGCGAACAUUUUAAGUUUUAUCCUUGCAGCACCCUAGAGGUAGCCAUUGUCAUAUUGAUUUUACAGAUAGAGAAACUGAGUCACAUCAAGGUUCCCAAGACUACACUGUGCCUGAGAAGUGCAGCUGAGUGGGAACCCAGUCCUUCUUGCUCCCAGUAGCGUGCUCCUUAUUGUGCCUUCCUCCUGGCCCUUCAAGCUAUGUUUGGGUUUCUUUCUAAACAGAAAGCCCUGCCUUUCUAAUCAUCUAAGCCCAGCUUUGCCGCUUGGCCACAACUGGGGACCUUUGUCCUGAUCCUCUGUUUCUACCACUGCUGUUCCGUUCUGUUCAGCGUUUACUUUUCUGGUCUACUACCCAGGCUGCCAUGCAGGCUUCUGGACUGGUGACAGAUGGAGGGGGAGAGGGAAGUGUCGAGGAUGGCUGGGGCCCUGGCUUGUGAUACUGGAUGGAUGGAGAUGACUGGGGAGGGAAAGUUUGGGGUGUAAAAGUGUAAACUUGGUGUUAGACCUGUUGAAUUUAAGGAUUUGUGAGGUAGCCAAGAAAUAUGAUUGCAUACGCGGAUGACAUUCAGAGUGACAUUUAUUUGUGUAUUUAUUUAUGUAUGUUCUUAUGGACGUAUAAGAUUUACAAUGUUGUGCCAAUUUCUGUUGUAAAGCAAAGUGUCUCAGUUAUACGUAUAUACCCCAGGAGAUUAGACAGCGUUCCCUAGGACCUUGUUGUUUAUAAAUUCUAACGUAAUUGUUUCCAUCCAAUGACCCCAAACUCCUAGUCCUCCCAUAUCUCCCCCCUCCCCUUUAGCAGACACAAUCCUGUUUCUGUUUUGUAGGCAGGUUCAUUGAUACCUUAUUUUAUUUUAUUUAUUUAUUUUUGUCUUUCUGUCUUUUCUAGUGCCGCAUGUGGCAUGUGGACGUUCCCAGGAUAGGGGUCUAAUGGAGCUGUAGCCACCGGCCUACGCCAGACCCAUAGCAAUGCCAGGUCCAAGCCGAGUCUGUGACCUACACCACAGCUCAUGACAGCAAUGCCAGAUCCUUAACCCACGAGCAAGGCCAGGGAUCGAACCCUCAACCUCAUGGUUCCUGGCUGGAUUCGUUAACCACUGAGCCAUGAUGGGAACUCCUAUUCCAUAUUUUAGAUUCCACAUAUAAGUGAUAUUGUAUGGUAUUUGUCUUUGUCUCUUUUUUUUUAAGGUUUGCACCCAUUGCAUAUGGAGGUUCCCAGGCUAGGGGUUGAACUGGAGCUGUAGCCACUAGCUUAUGCCACAGCCACAGCAACGCGGGAUCUAAGCCGCAUCUGCAACCUACACCACAGCUCAGGGCUAUGCCCUUAACCCACUGAGCGAGGCCAGGGAUCAAACCUGUGUCCCCAUGGAUACCAGUCAGAUUUGUUUCCGCUGAGCCACGACUGGAACUCCUGUCUUUCUCUUUCUGACUUACUUCACUUAGUAUGAUAAAUUCUAGUUGCACAGAAUGAUAUUUAGAAGCUGUAAGGCCUGCAGUUUGGGGCGUGGGGAGAAGCAGUGGGUCAGGGGAGUGUGGGCGGUAAAGCCUGGAUCCUUGGUUAUCUAGCAUCUGGUGUGCAUCUCCCAUAGGGGCACUAGGGG
This 5452-nucleotide long non-coding RNA is filed under the name Sus scrofa (pig). Its description in RNAcentral is "lncRNA (ENSSSCG00015037876.1)". The record is from RNAcentral. Lineage: Eukaryota; Metazoa; Chordata; Mammalia; Artiodactyla; Suidae.